CAAAACAAAAAACAAUCUCAACAUGGUAGU
RNAcentral lists this non-coding RNA (30 nucleotides) under Mus musculus (house mouse). The record is from RNAcentral. Lineage: Eukaryota; Metazoa; Chordata; Mammalia; Rodentia; Muridae.